Molecule: long non-coding RNA, 923 nt
Organism: Brassica rapa (field mustard)
Lineage: Eukaryota; Viridiplantae; Streptophyta; Magnoliopsida; Brassicales; Brassicaceae
Source: RefSeq, a predicted model, not a curated record
GGCUACAAGUUACAAGUGUCGAGUUCUUAGUCCCGAGUGUAUGCCACCGUUAUUGAUCACGUCCAGAUGUAGCAUCCCGUCCGGGAAAACCGAAAACACAUCGGGCAUGUCUAUAAUACAAUUUUAAGCAGACAAGAAAAUAAUACAAAAUAAACACAAGCUAAACAUUUUAUUCUAGGACGUUUGUCUAUUCAAAAUUUCGGGUGAGAAUGGAGUUAUGUAUCUAAAACCCAAGCAAAGCUGCUUUAUUUAAGAUUUUUUUUUGUAACAUAGCCAUUUGAUAUGGAAAUUCAUUUAAAAAUUGGUCUGACGGUGUGUUAAUUGGUGAAGUUUUAGUUAUAUUAUUAAAAAAAGAGUUACGGUUAUUCGAUUUGGUUGAACAUAUUCGGUUUUCUAUUUCAGAUUUAGUUUGUUUCGUUUAACAUGAACUUUAGGAUUAUAAUUUUUGCUCAAAUAAAAUGCUCAAUCUAAGUAAUGUGUCAGUGAAUAAAGGUUGGAAACUUUUCUACCUGAAAGCUUCUUGCUUUCCUCCUCAGUGAGCCAUGCAGCGAACCCGUCGAAGGACCUCCCGUAGUUGGUGACAAUUAGGCUUGGUGUGUAACUGAUUAGUAAAUGUAUACACCUCAAGUAAUCAGAUUGUGUACAACAGAAGUAAACAAUAUAUAUAUAUAUAUAUAUAUAUAUUUUUUUUUUUUUGAUGAGCCGGUUCAAUUAAUCGAGACACGCUGACUCCACACCGGACCUAGAUAUGAAAAUGGUUUACCUUUUUCCGGUGACACUACGAACCAAUGAGAAAUGGUGAUCUUCAAUAGUGACGUAGUCGUUGAUUGACGGUAAUGCUCCCAUGUAAACGAUGUAGACCUGCAUUAUCCACCCUGGAUUACCAUCUUACCUACGCUGUUAUAUAUUAAUGUUUUCUAAAA